Molecule: transfer RNA, 72 nt
Filed under: Betta simplex
Lineage: Eukaryota; Metazoa; Chordata; Actinopteri; Anabantiformes; Osphronemidae
Description: tRNA-phe
Rfam family: tRNA
About the family: Transfer RNA (tRNA) molecules are approximately 80 nucleotides in length. Their secondary structure includes four short double-helical elements and three loops (D, anti-codon, and T loops).
Source: RNAcentral
GCUAACGUAGCUUAAUAACAAAAGCAUAACCUUGAAGACGUUAAGAUAAGCCCUAGAUAGGCUUCGUAGGCA